RNAcentral lists this long non-coding RNA (1520 nucleotides) under Zostera marina. Its description in RNAcentral is "long non-coding RNA (ZMAR_LNC002369)". The record is from RNAcentral. Lineage: Eukaryota; Viridiplantae; Streptophyta; Magnoliopsida; Alismatales; Zosteraceae.
ACGAUACCCACAGAAAAGAAAAGAAAGACGGAUAUUCGUAGUGACGGAUUCGUUUUACCAAUAGCGAUAAAAUGAUAUACCUACAAAAAAAGAAAAAAAAUUGAUAUCCGUAGCGACGGAUUCAUUUUAGUCAUAGCAAUAGAAUGACACCUACAAAAAAGAAAAAAAUACAAGCAUAAAAAGUAUUGAAAAAAUUUAUUUUACUUACCGUAUGAAUCAUCGUUCGUGCUACUCCUUUCUUUUGCUCGAUAAAUAUUUGGCCGAAGCGACAGAUUCUUUUUGUGAUACUCUCUACUUUUGGGCGAUAAAUAUCCAGCUGAAGCAACAGAUUCUUUUGCAAUACUCCCUCCUUUUGCUCGAUAAAUAUCCGACUAAAGCAACAUAUUUCUUUUGCGAUAUUCCCUCCUUAUGUUCGAUAAACAUCCGACCAAAGCGACGGAAUGUUUCGAGUUGUUUGCGAUAUUCCCCCUAGAAUCGGCAAUUCUGUGUGAAAGUCGUCGAUUUUCCCGUAGGGUGGGGAUGUACUAAGAUUUUGCGAUAUUCCCAUGGAAUCGACGACUUUGUGCAGAAAUUGUCGAUUUUCCCGUGGUAUGGGAAUAUCUUUGAAGAUUUAGGGCUAUAUCUGAAAAUAUCUUCUAUUUUGGAAAUAACAUAUUCGAUUUUUCCUUACGAUUUCCACUUAUUUAGAAAAUAAGAUAUUCAUAAAUCUUUUCUUCGUAAUUUUCAGAUUUUGUGGAGGGUUGUAAUUUUUUCAAAGAUUAUAAAUAGUGGUCGGAUUAUUUUAAUCCUCACUUAAUCCACUCACAAAACCAUAGAGCAAUUGUCGAUUUCCAGCACUUUACACCUUCAAAUCGGCGAUAUCAUGGCUUCCUCGUGAAUAAACCCUAGCUCUCCCCCAAGCAGUCGAAAAUCGACGAUUUCGCCUUGGAGCAGAGCCUUUUUGACACAAUCAACCAGGUUGAAUCUUUGAUAUCAUCCUUCGCCGAGGGUUCAACUCAAGAAGGAGAGGAAUCGGCGAAUCUGAAGGUUUGAAUCACCGACGUCCGACCCAGCCGAGGUCGAAUUAAUUCUGAGUGCGGCUAGGCACAUAUGCUAAGUGUUACCUCCUCUGUGCGGUCGAUGAUUUCCCCUGUGAAAUCAAUGAUUCCCGCGAGUGAGGCUACGCCAAUGUCGGCGAUUAAGGCCGCCCGUAGGAGAAAUCACCGCCCUUGGGGAAUCGGUGAUUGUGCCACCUAAAUCGACAAUUGUUUCUCAUCCUGAACCGACACUUCUGCUUAUAGCGCCCCCUCGCCUCCGAAUGUUAUCAUCACAGAGAAGGGGGAAAUCAUAACUGAAGCGAACACUGAGGUUCACAAACGUAAAGCUUCAGGUGUAUGGAGCCACGUACAAUCUACGUAUGCUCUCCACGUAGGAUAGAUAGUUUUUUAUAACAGAAAUGUAACUAAUUACAUAUAUAAAUACAGUUCAAAUGUAAUUACAGAGCAAUACAAUUUGAUUCAGUUAACUACACUUCAUGUCUU